GAUGAACGCUGGCGGCGUGCCUAAUACAUGCAAGUCGAGCGAACAGAUAAGGAGCUUGCUCCUUUGACGUUAGCGGCGGACGGGUGAGUAACACGUGGGUAACCUACCUAUAAUACUGGGAUAACUUCGGGAAACCGGAGCUAAUACCGGAUAAUAUUUCGAACCGCAUGGUUCGAUAGUGAAAGAUGGUUUUACUAUCACUUAUAGAUGGACCCGCGCCGUAUUAGCUAGUUGGUAAGGUAACGGCUUACCAAGGCGACGAUACGUAGCCGACCUGAGAGGGUGAUCGGCCACACUGGAACUGAGACACGGUCCAGACUCCUACGGGAGGCAGCAGUAGGGAAUAUUCCGCAAUGGGCGCAAGCCUGACGGAGCAACGCCGCGUGAGUGAUGAAGGUCUUCGGAUCGUAAAACUCUGUUAUUAGGGAAGAACAUACGUGUAAGUAACUGUGCACGUCUUGACGGUACCUAAUCAGAAGGCCACGGCUAACUACGUG
This 497-nucleotide ribosomal RNA is filed under the name uncultured bacterium. Its description in RNAcentral is "partial 16S ribosomal RNA". It matches the Rfam family "Bacterial small subunit ribosomal RNA", at positions 28 to 507 of the family's 1533-position model. The record is from RNAcentral.